This is a small nuclear RNA of Suncus etruscus (white-toothed pygmy shrew), 194 nucleotides long. RefSeq annotates it as U2 spliceosomal RNA. The record is from RefSeq and is a predicted model, not a curated record. NCBI's taxonomy places the organism in Eukaryota, Metazoa, Chordata, Mammalia, Eulipotyphla, Soricidae. The transcript has a single exon.
AUCGCUUCUCGGCCUUUUGGUUAAGAUCAAGUGUAGUAUCUGUUCUUAUCAGUUUUAAAGUAGUAGUAAGACUAAUGCUCUGUCUUUACCCAAAGAUGCUCCCAUCUUAAUACUCAGAACUUGAGGAUACUUUCCAUGGCAAAUUCUGAUGAUUAAAUUUUGGAGACGGAAAUGAAAAGACUAGUCUAGUUACA